CAGCCGCCGCGGGAAUACGGAGGGUGCAAGCGUUAAUCGGAAUUACUGGGCGUAAAGCGCACGCAGGCGGUCUGACAAGUCAGAUGUGAAAUCCCCGGGCUUAACCUGGGAACUGCAUUUGAAACUGUCAGGCUGGAGUCUUGUAGAGGGGGGUGGAAUUCCAGGUGUAGCGGUGAAAUGCGUAGAGAUCUGGAGGAAUACCGGUGGCGAAGGCGGCCCCCUGGACAAAGACUGACGCUCAGGUGCGAAAGCGUGGGGAGCAAACAGGAUUAGAGACCCCGGUAGUCCCUGUCUCUUAUAA
RNAcentral lists this ribosomal RNA (301 nucleotides) under uncultured bacterium. RNAcentral describes it as "partial 16S ribosomal RNA". It matches the Rfam family "Bacterial small subunit ribosomal RNA", at positions 509 to 809 of the family's 1533-position model. The record is from RNAcentral.